UAGCUCAGUUCGUAGAGCGCACGACUUUUAAUCGUGUGGUCAUGGGUUCGAUCCCCAC
RNAcentral lists this transfer RNA (58 nucleotides) under Chaetoceros dichaeta. It matches the Rfam family "tRNA", at positions 8 to 63 of the family's 71-position model. From Rfam's summary of the family: Transfer RNA (tRNA) molecules are approximately 80 nucleotides in length. Their secondary structure includes four short double-helical elements and three loops (D, anti-codon, and T loops). The record is from RNAcentral. Lineage: Eukaryota; Bacillariophyta; Thalassiosirophyceae; Chaetocerotales; Chaetocerotaceae.